RNAcentral lists this ribosomal RNA (494 nucleotides) under uncultured bacterium. RNAcentral's name for it is "partial 16S ribosomal RNA". It matches the Rfam family "Bacterial small subunit ribosomal RNA", at positions 28 to 507 of the family's 1533-position model. The record is from RNAcentral.
GACGAACGCUGGCGGCGUGCUUAACACAUGCAAGUCGAACGGAAGGGCCUGCUUUCCCUUGUGGAUUGCGGGUACUCGAGUGGCGAACGGGUGAGUAACACGUGAGUGAUCUGCCCCCAACUUGGGUAUAAGCCUGGGAAACUGGGUCUAAUUCCCGAUAGGACUGCAGGGUGGUGCCUGUGGUGGAAAACGAUUUUCUAGUGGUUGGGGAUGAGCUCGCGGCCUAUCAGCUUGUUGGUGGGGUAAUGGCCUACCAAGGCGGCGACGGGUAGCCGGCCUGAGAGGGUGGACGGCCACAGUGGGACUGAGAUACGGCCCAGACUCCUACGGGAGGCAGCAGUGGGGAAUAUUGCACAAUGGGCGGAAGCCUGAUGCAGCGACGCCGCGUGGGGGAUGACGGCCUUCGGGUUGUAAACUCCUUUCGACCGCGAGGAAGCCACCUGGUUGGAAGGGUGGUGACGGUAGUGGUAGAAGAAGCACCGGCUAACUACGUG